RNAcentral lists this ribosomal RNA (399 nucleotides) under uncultured bacterium. RNAcentral's name for it is "bacterial SSU rRNA". It matches the Rfam family "Bacterial small subunit ribosomal RNA", at positions 30 to 431 of the family's 1533-position model. The record is from RNAcentral.
UGAACGCUGGCGGCAUGCCUUACACAUGCAAGUCGAACGGCAGCACGGGAGCAAUCCUGGUGGCGAGUGGCGAACGGGUGAGUAAUAUAUCGGAACGUGCCCAGUCGUGGGGGAUAACGUAGAGAAAUUUACGCUAAUACCGCAUACGAUCUAAGGAUGAAAGCGGGGGACCGUAAGGCCUCGCGCGAUUGGAGCGGCUGAUAUCAGAUUAGGUUGUUGGUGAGGUAAAAGCUCACCAAGCCGACGAUCUGUAGCUGGUUUGAGAGAACGACCAGCCACACUGGGACUGAGACACGGCCCAGACUCCUACGGGAGGCAGCAGUGUGGUUUUUUGUUCGAUGGGCGAAAGCCUGAUCCAGCAAUGCCGCGUGCAGGAAGAAGGCCUUCGGGUUGUAAACU